This is a long non-coding RNA of Hippocampus zosterae (dwarf seahorse), 452 nucleotides long. RefSeq lists it as uncharacterized. The record is from RefSeq and is a predicted model, not a curated record. Lineage: Eukaryota; Metazoa; Chordata; Actinopteri; Syngnathiformes; Syngnathidae. The transcript has 3 exons.
GUCUAGAUCAGGGGUGGGCAAACUUUUUGGCUCGGGGGCCGCAUUGACUUUUAAAAUUUGACAGAAGGGCCAGGUCAGCACAAGCUAUGGUACAUUAAAAAAACUGCAUUUGUUGACAGUCCAUAUCAAACAUCAACAGAACAAAAGCAUGAAAGUACUGUAUUAAUAUACUUUUUUAAAAUGACAACAAUGUUGUUGAUGACCUAUUUUAGCCUGUGCAUUGCUGCAGAUGGGUUGUGAUCAGACCAGUAGAAGUAGAGCGAUACAGAGGUCCUAGGUGGUCGAAAAGAUCCCCCCGUGUUCUGCAACUUACAGUCAAUGCGCCAUCUGGUGGUGAAAUGCGUGUCAUUACAAGUCCAAUGCAAAUGAAUGCAAUCAUUCACAUCGAACCUUAAUUACUAAAGAUAAGAUAUCCUUUAUUCGUCCCACAAUGGGGAAAUUUACAGCCUCCA